AGUGAACGCUGGCGGUAGGCCUAACACAUGCAAGUCGAACGGCAGCACAGUAAGAGCUUGCUCUUACGGGUGGCGAGUGGCGGACGGGUGAGGAAUACAUCGGAAUCUACUUUUUCGUGGGGGAUAACGUAGGGAAACUUACGCUAAUACCGCAUACGACCUACGGGUGAAAGCAGGGGAUCUUCGGACCUUGCGCGAUUGAAUGGGCCGAUGUCGGAUUAGCUAGUUGGCGGGGUAAAGGCCCACCAAGGCGACGAUCCGUAGCUGGUCUGAGAGGAUGAUCAGCCACACUGGAACGGAGACACGGUCCAGACUCCUACGGGAGGCAGCAGUGGGGAAUAGUGGACAAUGGGCGCAAGCCUGAUCCAGCCAUACCGCGUGGGUGAAGAAGGCCUUCGGGUUUUAAAGCCCUUUUGUUGGGAAAGAAAAGCAGCAGGUUAAUACCCCGCUGUUCUGACGGUACCCUAAGAAUAAGCACCGGCUAACUUCGUG
This 492-nucleotide ribosomal RNA is filed under the name uncultured bacterium. RNAcentral describes it as "partial 16S ribosomal RNA". It matches the Rfam family "Bacterial small subunit ribosomal RNA", at positions 29 to 507 of the family's 1533-position model. The record is from RNAcentral.